UCGGACGUCUGGCGUACGCUUAACUACCAACUAUGAACUGGUACGGACAAGGGGAAUCUGACUGUCUAAUUAAAACAUAGCAUUGCGAUGGCCAGAAAGUGGUGUUGACGCAAUGUGAUUUCUGCCCAGUGCUCUGAAUGUCAAA
This 145-nucleotide ribosomal RNA is filed under the name Chaetoceros curvisetus. Its description in RNAcentral is "partial Eukaryotic large subunit ribosomal RNA". It matches the Rfam family "Eukaryotic large subunit ribosomal RNA", at positions 2077 to 2221 of the family's 3401-position model. Lineage: Eukaryota; Bacillariophyta; Thalassiosirophyceae; Chaetocerotales; Chaetocerotaceae. The record is from RNAcentral.